This 75-nucleotide antisense RNA is filed under the name Streptomyces sp. 846.5. RNAcentral's name for it is "ASpks TB sRNA". It matches the Rfam family "ASpks TB sRNA". The record is from Rfam by way of RNAcentral. Lineage: Bacteria; Bacillati; Actinomycetota; Actinomycetes; Kitasatosporales; Streptomycetaceae.
CUUCAGCGAUCCCAACCACAGCGGCCGGUCCGUCGGGCGGUCCUGCCCGUACGUCGCCAGCAGCGCCUCCGCCUC